Lycium barbarum (goji berry) is the source of this 500-nucleotide long non-coding RNA. RefSeq lists it as uncharacterized. The record is from RefSeq and is a predicted model, not a curated record. Lineage: Eukaryota; Viridiplantae; Streptophyta; Magnoliopsida; Solanales; Solanaceae. The transcript has 3 exons.
UCUCUUCCUCUUCUAUGUUAACCCUAGCGUCACCUCGAGUUUCCCUCUUCUCUCUCCACUAAAAAUGGAAAAAAUACAGGGUUUAGCAGAAGAGCACAACUUUUGCAUAUAUAUUGUGGUGAAACAUUUAAUGUUUCACUUGGUUUCGCGAAAAGAUAAUCCCAAACAUGAUUUUGGACGAAACGGGAAGUGAACUUGGAAAGGCGUAAAGUGCGUAAAAGGUACAGAAGACAGAUUUGCUGACCGCCUGCCUAGGACAUCUAUUCUGCUAUAUUGGGAGCGCUCUUUUGUUCAGAGCCUGUAUAUUGGUACAGUUUGCCGCUAUUAUAUAUAUGUAUGCUAUUCAGGGGUAUGACGGGGCCCUGUCCCGUCUUAUGAUUAUGUUAUGAUCUGUAGAGGUCUGUAGACAUACUUGUGUGAGUUCUGUAUAUGUUCGGGUAUGAUACGAUCUGUGACAGCCUCAUCGGCCUCCAUGUACUGUGUCGGUUCUUUUAUGCUAA